Molecule: long non-coding RNA, 210 nt
Filed under: Panax ginseng (ginseng)
Lineage: Eukaryota; Viridiplantae; Streptophyta; Magnoliopsida; Apiales; Araliaceae
Description: long non-coding RNA (PGIN_LNC003601)
Source: RNAcentral
CGCUCAGCACUGAUACACUCAUCUAUCCUAAAUUGGUGAAGGAGUUCUACAAAAAUGGAGUGUACGAAAACAACACCAUCACCACACGAGUUAGAGGAGUUGAAAUAAAGCUAGGGGAAGAAGAUGUCAAUCUGGCCCUAGGUUUCAAGAAUGUGGGACAUCCAUUUCUAGAUAGCAUAAGAUUUCAAGAGGGACUGAAGAAGAUGCAUC